AUGUAUACGGACUGACGCCUGCCCGGUGCUGGAAGGUUAAGAGGACCGGUUAGUUCUUCGGAGCGAAGCUGAGAAUUUAAGCCCCAGUAAACGGCGGUGGUAACUAUAACCAUCCUAAGGUAGCGAAAUUCCUUGUCGGGUAAGUUCCGACCUGCACGAAUGGCGUAACGACUUCUCAGCUGUCUCAACCGUAGACUCGGCGAAAUUGCAUUACGAGUAAAGAUGCUCGUUACGCGCGGCAGGACGAAAAGACCCCGGGACCUUCACUACAGCUUGGUAUUGGUGUUCGGUUCGGUUUGUGUAGGAUAGGUGGGAGACUGUGAARCGGUGACGCCAGUUAUCGUGGAGUCGUUGUUGAAAUACCACUCUGAUCGAAUUGGACCUCUAACCUCGGACCAUGAUCUGGUUCAGGGACAGUGCCUGGUGGGUAGUUUAACUGGGGCGGUUGCCUCCCAAAAUGUAACGGAGGCGCCCAAAGGUUCCCUCAGCCUGGUUGGCAAUCAGGUGUCGAGUGCAAGUGCACAAGGGAGCUUGACUGUGAGACUGACAGGUCGAGCAGGGACGAAAGUCGGGACUAGUGAUCCGGCACCGGCAAGUGGAAGCGGUGUCGCUCAACGGAUAAAAGGUACCCCGGGGAUAACAGGCUGAUCUUCCCCAAGAGUCCAUAUCGACGGGAUGGUUUGGCACCUCGAUGUCGGCUCGUCGCAUCCUGGGGCUGGAGUAGGUCCCAAGGGUUGGGCUGUUCGCCCAUUAAAGCGGCACGCGAGCUGGGUUUAGAACGUCGUGAGACAGUUCGGUCUCUAUCCGCCGCGCGCGUUAGAAACUUGAGGAAGGCUGUCCCUAGUACGAGAGGACCGGGACGGACGAACCUCUGGUGUGCCAGUUGUUCCGCCAGGAGCACCGCUGGUUAGCUACGUUCGGAAGGGAUAACCGCUGAAAGCAUCUAAGCGGGAAGCCUGUUCCAAGAUGAGGUUUCUCACCCCCUCGAGGGGGUAAGGCCCCCGGCAGACCACCGGGUUGAUAGGCCAGAACUGGAAGUGCAGUAAUGCAUGCAGGUGACUGGUACUAAUAGGCCGAGGACUUACCACA
RNAcentral lists this ribosomal RNA (1089 nucleotides) under Rhodococcus qingshengii. RNAcentral describes it as "bacterial LSU rRNA". Lineage: Bacteria; Bacillati; Actinomycetota; Actinomycetes; Mycobacteriales; Nocardiaceae. The record is from RNAcentral.